ACCCCUCCAACUUUCCCAUAUUUACCAUUUUCACCCCAACUUUUCCCUUUUAUUUCCAAAUUUCCUUUUCAAUCUCCUUAUAUAUCCCAUCCUUUUCCUCCCUUCUUCCCAUUCACUCACCCUCUCCAUUCCUUCCUGAUAUAUGCUUUCAUAUAUCAAAUCUGCCUGGCUCCCUGUAUGCCAUUUGUAGAGCGCUCACCGUCUUACCCGAUGACCUCCGUAGAUGGCGUAUGAGGAGCCAAGCAUAUUCCGUGUAGAUCGGGAUUCAAAUCUUUUAUCUUUAACAUCACAACUUAUCCCCUCUUUUGUUUUUUAACUCAUCUAUGUCUUAUUCAGCUCAGCUAUGCUCUAAAUUGGUAAUUCUCGAACAAACCCUUUUCAAUGCUCGUGCCCUUUUCUUAUUGCAGCUACCCGAAAAACCCUAAUUUCAAAUACCUCCGUAAAUGGCUUAUGAGGAGCCAAGCAUAUUCCGUGUAGAUCGGGAUUCAAAUCUUUUAUCUUUAACAUCACAACUUACCCCCUCUUUUGUUUUUUAACUCAUAUAUGUCUUAUUCAGCUCAGCUAUGCUCUAAAUUGGUAAUUCUCGAACUAACCCUUUUCAAUGCUCGUGCCCUUUUCUUAUUGCAGCUACCCGAAAAACCCUAAUUUCAAACAUUGGCAUUGAAGAGAGGGAAUAUCACAGAUUCACAGACACAAUACGUCUUUUAUUUUAGGGUUUUCAUCAUUUCCCUUAAAUUUAGGGUUCUUGUUUGGAAAUCACUGUUUGGCAACGGUUUAAAAUGUAUCCAUGUUCGGGAUUUGUUCUUAGCAUUAACCAGGUUAUGUAUAUUGAUAUAAAAUCUUCAUUUAUUUGCAUGGUUGUCACAUGGAUCGAUUCAUAUCUUUCAUUUCCAUAACCCAAAACCAUAUUAUAAAAUUAUAUGUAAUCUUUCAUUCUACCUUAUAAUUUGCAAUGUACUUCUUUCAUCAUGAUGUCCUUGAAUCUAUAGCUUAUUAUAUAUACUUAUUAUAUAGUUUUAAUGAAUGAAAAUUAAACAUUGUGAAAUAUAUUUAGAUCUCAUGUAUACAAAUGUAUAAUAGCAAGCGACCGAAGAUCUGAUGGGAUGAAAUCUGAUCGUGUGGUGAUGGGUUGUUCAAUAUGAAGAGAGUAAGAUAGAUCUGGCCACAGAGGAUCCAAAUAUAUAUAUAUUUGAAUGGGAAAGAAUCUACGUGGAAAGAGCUUGAGGAUUCUCUCAUAGCUAGGGUUAUUUGGAUAGCAUCUUAGCCUAAUGGCUAGCUAUAUUCUACUACAUGUAGUGUAAUAAUCAAACAUUUAUCUCAAUAAAUCCUUUUUUUUUUCGUUCGUUUUCCGUAAUUGUUAGCACGUUUUCGAGCUCUCGCUUUGCUGAUUUGUAUAUACAGUGUUCGAGAUAUAGGUAGGAAUGAAGUGAUUGUUCUCGUUUUGAACUC
Molecule: non-coding RNA, 1449 nt
Organism: Cucurbita pepo subsp. pepo (vegetable marrow)
Lineage: Eukaryota; Viridiplantae; Streptophyta; Magnoliopsida; Cucurbitales; Cucurbitaceae
Source: RefSeq, a predicted model, not a curated record